RNAcentral lists this ribosomal RNA (253 nucleotides) under uncultured bacterium. RNAcentral's name for it is "partial 16S ribosomal RNA". It matches the Rfam family "Bacterial small subunit ribosomal RNA", at positions 524 to 776 of the family's 1533-position model. The record is from RNAcentral.
UACGGGGGGGGCAAGCGUUGUUCGGAAUUACUGGGCGUAAAGGGCUCGUAGGUGGCCAACUAAGUCAGACGUGAAAUCCCUCAGCUUAACUGGGGAACUGCGUCUGAUACUGGAUGGCUUGAGUUUGGGAGAGGGAUGCGGAAUUCCAGGUGUAGCGGUGAAAUGCGUAGAUAUCUGGAGGAACACCGGUGGCGAAGGCGGCAUCCUGGACCAAUACUGGCACUGAGGAGCGAAAGCCAGGGGAGCAAACGGG